AACGAGGUGUUGCAUGGCUGUCGUCAGCUCGUGCCGUGAGGUGUUACGGUUAAGUCCUGUAACGAGCGCAACCCCUGCCGUUAGUUACAUGUGUCUAACGGGACUGCCCGGCUCAACUGGGAGGAAGGUGGGGACGACGUCAAGUCAGCAUGGCCUUUAUAUCCUGGGCUACACACACGCUACAAUGGUCGGUACAAUGGGUCGCCAAGCCGCGAGGCGGAGCCAAUCCUCCAAAACCGGCCUCAGUUCAGAUUGUAGGCUGCAACUCGCCUGCAUGAAGUUGGAGUUGCUAGUAACCGCGCGUCAGCUAUAGUGCGGUGAAUACGUUCCCGGGGCUU
This 338-nucleotide ribosomal RNA is filed under the name uncultured Anaerolineaceae bacterium. Its description in RNAcentral is "bacterial SSU rRNA". It matches the Rfam family "Bacterial small subunit ribosomal RNA", at positions 1032 to 1382 of the family's 1533-position model. Lineage: Bacteria; Bacillati; Chloroflexota; Anaerolineae; Anaerolineales; Anaerolineaceae. The record is from RNAcentral.